Molecule: long non-coding RNA, 215 nt
Filed under: Physcomitrium patens
Lineage: Eukaryota; Viridiplantae; Streptophyta; Bryopsida; Funariales; Funariaceae
Description: long non-coding RNA (PPAT_LNC013489)
Source: RNAcentral
AGAGACGAGUUCCACGAGGAGCGGUCAUCAUAUGUUGAGGAAAUCUAUGAUGCGACGAAUUGUAUUCGCCACAUACUCUGAUCUCUGUUCUCUUCGAAGAUGAUUGAUAGGACCUCUCAACCAUCGGUAGUGUCCCAUACCAGGGCGGGAAGACCACCCAGUUAUUUGAUCAUUGUUGAGGCCUUCGUAACUUCCUUCGAAUAGAAUAUUCGAAA